CAACAGGGAUUGCCCUAGUAACGGCGAGUGAAGCGGCAACAGCUCAAAUUUGAAAUCUGGCUCUCGGGCCCGAGUUGUAAUUUGUAGAGGAUGCUUUUGGUGCGGUGCCUUCCGAGUUCCCUGGAACGGGACGCCAUAGAGGGUGAGAGCCCCGUCUGGUUGGACGCCAAUCCUCUGUAAAGCUCCUUCGACGAGUCGAGUAGUUUGGGAAUGCUGCUCUAAAUGGGAGGUAUAUGUCUUCUAAAGCUAAAUACCGGCCAGAGACCGAUAGCGCACAAGUAGAGUGAUCGAAAGAUGAAAAGAACUUUGAAAAGAGAGUUAAAAAGUACGUGAAAUUGUUGAAAGGGAAGCGCUUGUGACCAGACUUGGGCUUGGUUGAUCAUCCAGGGUUCUCCCUGGUGCACUCCUCCGGCCCAGGCCAGCAUCAGUUCGCCCCGGGGGACAAAGACGCCUGGAAUGUGGCUCUCUUCGGGGAGUGUUAU
This 482-nucleotide ribosomal RNA is filed under the name Fusarium protoensiforme. RNAcentral describes it as "partial 28S large subunit ribosomal RNA". It matches the Rfam family "Eukaryotic large subunit ribosomal RNA", at positions 66 to 559 of the family's 3401-position model. Lineage: Eukaryota; Fungi; Ascomycota; Sordariomycetes; Hypocreales; Nectriaceae. The record is from RNAcentral.